GCCGCCAAACGGAAAUAUGUCUCUCGCACAACCGCUGUUAUCAGUAGAUGGAGCAUUCCUUUAAGAACAUAAUUUAUGCAUUCUGCCAGGUUCGACGUCAUAUGGCCAUAUCGUAGGCCUCCGUCGUAUGCUUGUGCUCACUGUUCAAAACGUAUGUUGCAAAGGUAGUCCGCCCCUUCUCUGUUUUAGGAUUGCAAGAUUGCCAACAUCUCGUGGAAACGAUCUUUAUUCAUU
This 234-nucleotide long non-coding RNA is filed under the name Gossypium barbadense (sea-island cotton). RNAcentral's name for it is "long non-coding RNA (GBAR_LNC023176)". The record is from RNAcentral. Lineage: Eukaryota; Viridiplantae; Streptophyta; Magnoliopsida; Malvales; Malvaceae.